GGUAAUUAUAGGCCAUUUUAAAGCGAGGAUAAGCCACACAAAUGGAAUGAAUACAGAUACUUGAGGUUAUACCUCUGAACAAAAAUAUUCAUUUGGAAAUGUCAUCUAUAAUUGAGGAGAAGUUAGCAAGAGUCCAGAGGCUGAGUGUGGCUUUGAUCUCAGUGUCCAGCCUUUCUCAGUGCAAAUCAUUCUGGGCAGAAAGAAAACUAUGGAGGAAAAUAAUCAUACCCUGCUUGACGUGGGACACUAAAAUGCUGAGACCAACUUUGCAUGGAACUGUCCAGAGGAGCUGCAGCUGAAAUUAAACAUGAGGAAUCUGUUAUUAUUAUAUUUGUUUAUUCCCUGCCAAAGGAAGAAGCAAAUAGCGUAUCAGCUUCAACAGAUAAAUAUCCCUUAGAGUUGGUUCUCACUUACAAAUGUACCUAAUAUAUCUUGAUUCUUCUUUCCCUCAAACUUUCUUCUUUAUAACUUACAGAGUAAAAAUGUUUUCAAAUUAAUAAAGGGUAUGAAAAACAUCGUAGUGCUAUUAAG
This 531-nucleotide long non-coding RNA is filed under the name Oryctolagus cuniculus (rabbit). Its description in RNAcentral is "lncRNA (ENSOCUG00000035877.1)". Lineage: Eukaryota; Metazoa; Chordata; Mammalia; Lagomorpha; Leporidae. The record is from RNAcentral.